GAGAAGCACUGAUGUCAAGCAUUGUCUUAUUUUAAGAUUGAAGAAAGGCUUUGGAUUCUUCUGCCUUAAUUUAAGGUGUGGUCUUAGCAAAAUCUGCAAUAGUAGUUUGAAGGUGGCUACAGGCUUUGUUAUCACUGUCUGCGUGGAGAGGUGUGGGUUCUUUCUCCACCAUUUAAUCUGGAUUCGUUCUACGAUGGCUUCAUCAAUAGAAUGCAGAGGAAGCGAUGCAUUAACGUGACUGGCAGUUUCUCCUUCCCCCCUCGUGGGCCCCGUGGCCACGUUCCGGGUUAGCCCAAGCAGAGAGAUCCGCGUGGGGAAGAGCUGAGGCCACUGGCCGACAGCCUUGGCUGAGCUCCCAGGCAGCAGUGAGCACCAACUUGCCAGCCACGUGAGUGAGCCUUCCUGGGACUGGAGCUGCCUCAGUUUACACAACGUGGAGCAGAGACAAGCUGUCCCUGCCCAGAUGGCAAAACCAGAUUGCUUUGAGAAUCGUCUUAAGAACCAGGGACUAAGCCUAUUUCUCUCUUUACUUGAAAGUGACGUAUCCCUGUGUCUGCAGCAUUCCAGGCCACAGGGUGAGGCUCGUCCACUGGCCUGGAACUCCAGGGGAGCCCGAGGGCCUGGGGUCCCUGGCUACAUUUUGGGACUUGUUGGUGCCCAACUGACCAAGAGCUUGAGAGCAAAUGCAUCCUAGCUGACAAAGAAAUAAAAAAAUCCCCUUUCUUCUGGUCCUUGUGUUCUCUUCCUUCCCUGAUCGAAGACACUGGGUACUAAAGCUUCAGGAGGGUAGAAGAAAGGUGGUAACGGGCUCAGAAACCUGGAAAUGCUGCAGCUGAUAUUCAAGAACAAGCUGUUGUGUGCAAGCACACCAGAUGUCCCAACAUCAGAAAGCGGAUGUCACAAAUCCAAGAAGAGCUGUAGCAGGAAAGAGCCAAUUGACAAGAUUUUUUCUUCUUUUUUCUAAUUAGCUGUAAUUUUCUGAUUUUCUGAUUAAUAGUAAAAAAUUCAGCACAGAAAGGGAUCAUACAUCUAAAGUAUCCAUAAUUACACCUAACAGAUUAUCGUUUAAAAUUUUGGAGUAUGCCCUUUGGAUAUUUUCUUUAUCUUCGCAGAGUUUCUGCUUAUAACAUGCCUUCCAUGAUCUUUUUUAAAUAAUAAACUAUU
Long non-coding RNA from Manis pentadactyla (Chinese pangolin), 1164 nucleotides. RefSeq lists it as uncharacterized. The record is from RefSeq and is a predicted model, not a curated record. Lineage: Eukaryota; Metazoa; Chordata; Mammalia; Pholidota; Manidae. The transcript has 4 exons.